GAUGAACGCUGGCGGCGUGCCUAAUACAUGCAAGUCGAGCGAACAGACGAGGAGCUUGCUCCUCUGACGUUAGCGGCGGACGGGUGAGUAACACGUGGAUAACCUACCUAUAAGACUGGGAUAACUUCGGGAAACCGGAGCUAAUACCGGAUAAUAUAUUGAACCGCAUGGUUCAAUAGUGAAAGACGGUUUUGCUGUCACUUAUAGAUGGAUCCGCGCCGCAUUAGCUAGUUGGUAAGGUAACGGCUUACCAAGGCAACGAUGCGUAGCCGACCUGAGAGGGUGAUCGGCCACACUGGAACUGAGACACGGUCCAGGCUCCUACGGGGAGCAGCAGUAGGGAAUCUUCCGCAAAGGGCGGAAGCCUGACGGAGCAACGCCGCGUGAGUGAUGAAGGUCUUCGGAUCGUAAAACUCUGUUAUUAGGGAAGAACAAAUGUGUAAGUAACUAUGCACGUCUUGACGGUACCUAAUCAGAAAGCCACGGCUAACUACGUG
RNAcentral lists this ribosomal RNA (497 nucleotides) under uncultured bacterium. RNAcentral's name for it is "partial 16S ribosomal RNA". It matches the Rfam family "Bacterial small subunit ribosomal RNA", at positions 28 to 507 of the family's 1533-position model. The record is from RNAcentral.